GAAGUAAUUGAGAUGCACCUGGAUGGAAAGGCUAAUAGGUGGUUUCAAGGGGUCAAAAUUGAAAAACCCAAUUUGAGUUGGGAACAGUUCCGAGAAUUAUUGUGCAGCAGAUUCAAUGAUAGAAAUUGUAUGGAUGUUGUUUAGGGGUUUAAUAAACUGCAACAGGAAGGCAAUGUUGAAAAAUAUCAGGAAAGAUUUGAGGAAUUAUAACCAUUGAUGAUGAUUAGGAAUAAAAAUCUUGUUGAGAAUUAUUUCAUUUCCAGUUUCAUAAGCGGUUUGAAGGAGGAAACUAAACCAAUAGUGAGAAUGCUAAAACCAACAACCUGGUCUGAGUCCUUUGAAUUAUCACAAUGGCAAGAAUACUCACUCAAAGUCCGAAGUAAGGGCACUAGGAAAACUCAGAAGGUGGUUGCAGAACAUAAGUUUGGAAUGAUCAGAUCCACAGCAACAACUGCAAUGGGACGUAAUAUGUACAAGGUGCCUUUUGCUAGCACUUUCAAGAUUCCAAAUUCAAGAGUCAUCAGGAUGAUUCUCGAGACCCCAAGAAAAUUAGAGCCCAAGAAAUUCAAUAUAGAAAAAAUAAUGGACUGUGUUUCAAAUGUGGGAAAAAAUAUGGAUUGGGCCAUCAAUGUAAGUUGGGACACUUAAAUUUCCUGAUAUGUGAAGAAGAGGAGGAGUCUAUAUUUGAAAAUGCAUUAGGGGAACAGGAUGAACAGAUUGGAAAUGUUGGUCAGACUAUGAACAUGUCUCUUUUUGCCUUAUUUGAAGCACUUAAAAGGAAGACAAUUACAGUGACUGAAAAAUUGGAUAAUGAAGAAGUUCUGAAACUGCAACAGGAAGGCAAUGUUGAAAAAUAUCAGGAAAGAUUUGAGGAAUUAUAACCAUUGAUGAUGAUUAGGAAUAAAAAUCUUGUUGAGAAUUAUUUCAUUUCCAGUUUCAUAAGCGGUUUGAAGGAGGAAACUAAACCAAUAGUGAGAAUGCUAAAACCAACAACCUGGUCUGAGUCCUUUGAAUUAUCACAAUGGCAAGAAUACUCACUCAAAGUCCGAAGUAAGGGCACUAGGAAA
RNAcentral lists this long non-coding RNA (1067 nucleotides) under Coffea arabica (coffee). RNAcentral's name for it is "long non-coding RNA (CARA_LNC003191)". Lineage: Eukaryota; Viridiplantae; Streptophyta; Magnoliopsida; Gentianales; Rubiaceae. The record is from RNAcentral.